CCCCCGCUAACCACUGACCCCCGCUAACCACUGACCUCCGCUAACCGCUGACCCCCGCUAACCACUGACCUCCGCUGACUGCUGACCCCCGCUAACCACUGACCUCCGCUAACCGCUGACCACCGCUAACCACUGAUCUCCACUAACCACUGUUCUCCGGUAACCGCUGACCCCCGCUAACCGCUGAUCCCCGCUAACCACUGACCUCCGCAGACCGCUGACCACCGCUAACCACUGACCUCCGCUGACCGCUGACCACCGCUAACCGCUGACCACCGCUAACCGCUGACCUCCGCUAACCGCUGACCCCCGCUAACCACUGACCUCCGCUGACCGCUAACCACUGACACCUGCUAACCGCUGACCACCGCUAACCACCGCUAACCACUGACCUCCGCUGACCGCCGACCACCGCUAACCACUGACCCCUGCUAACCACUGACCUCCGCUGACCGCUAACCACUGACACCUGCUAACCGCUGACCACCGCUAACCACUGACCUCCGCUGACCGCUGACCACCGCUAACCACUGACCACCACUAACCGCAUGGGAUGGUCCAAAACCUUCUGACCACAGCUGGUACUGGUCCAACUGGUACUGGUCCAAAUGGUACUGGUCCAACUACUACUGGUCCAAAUGGUCAGAUACUGGUCCAACUGGUACUGGUCCAACUGGUACUGGUCCAUACAGAACAGAGUCCUUCAGGGAGGAUCCACAGUCCUCCUCUUGUUGUCUGGUCCACAGGCUGCUAACCGCUACUAGACGGAACGCACUGGAUGGAUCUACAUGGAGUAGACCAUGGUCCAACAGUGGAAGGGCUGAUGGAGUAAACCAUGGUCAAACAGUGGAAGGGCUGAGAGAUGGAGUAGAAGGUGGAAGGGAAGGGCUGAGAGAUGGAAUAAACCAUGGUCAAACAGUGGAAGGGCUGAUGGAGUAGACCAUGGUCAAACAGUGGAGUGGCUGAUGGAGUAGACCAUGGUCAAACAGUGGAAGGGCUGAGAGAUGGAGUAAACCAUGGUCAAACAGUGGAAGGACUGAUGGAAUAAACCAUGGUCAAACAGUGGAAGGGCUCAGAGAGGAACAAUACAUUCCUGUGGGACGAUUCUGUCACCUUCAGGUUAAACUGUACUGUAUGUUUCAUCUAGUCUGAAGUUUGGACACUGGGUGGUUCUACACUGAGUGGACAAAACAUUAGGAACACUUCCCUAACACCCUCAGAACAGCCUCACUUCGUCGUGGCGUGGACUCUACAAGGUGUUGAAAGCUUUCCAACAAGGAUGUUGGUCCAUGUUGACUCCAAUGCUUCCUACAGUUGUGUCAAGUUGGCUGUCCUUCGGUUGGUGGAACAUUCUUCAUACACACGGGAAACUAUUGAGCGUGAAAAAUCCAGCAGCGUUGCAGUUCUUGACACAAAACGGUGCACCUGGCACCUACUACCAUACCCCGUUUUAUUCAGUGUAUAACAGAGGUAACAUUACAUUAACACUACUGUAAUUCUGUAACUACUGUAAUUACUAUUACAUUUACACUACUGUAAUUCUGUAACUACUGUAAUUACUAUUACAUUUACACUACUGUAAUUCUGUAACUACUGUAAUUACUAUUACAUUAACACUAUUGUAAUUCUGUAACUACUGUAAUUACUAUUACAUUAACACUACUGUAAUUCUGUAACUACUGUAAUUACCAUUACAUUAAAAGUAC
RNAcentral lists this long non-coding RNA (1706 nucleotides) under Salmo salar (Atlantic salmon). RNAcentral's name for it is "lncRNA (ENSSSAG00000110711.1)". The record is from RNAcentral. Lineage: Eukaryota; Metazoa; Chordata; Actinopteri; Salmoniformes; Salmonidae.